GUCCUACGGGACGCAGCAGUAGGGAAUCUUCCACAAUGGGCGAAAGCCUGAUGGAGCAACGCCGCGAGGGUGAACAAGGUCUUCGGAUCGUAAAACCCUGUUGUUAGAGAAGAAAGUGCGUGAGAGUAACUGUUCACGUUUCGACGGUAUCUAACCAGAAAGCCACGGCUAACUACGUGCCAGCAGCCGCGGUAAUACGUAGGUGGCAAGCGUUAUCCGGAUUUAUUGGGCGUAAAGGGAACGCAGGCGGACUUUUAAGUCUGAUUUGAAAGCCUUCGGCUUAACCGGAUUAGGGCAUUGGAAAC
RNAcentral lists this ribosomal RNA (305 nucleotides) under uncultured bacterium. Its description in RNAcentral is "bacterial SSU rRNA". It matches the Rfam family "Bacterial small subunit ribosomal RNA", at positions 335 to 633 of the family's 1533-position model. The record is from RNAcentral.